This 433-nucleotide ribosomal RNA is filed under the name uncultured bacterium. RNAcentral describes it as "partial 16S ribosomal RNA". It matches the Rfam family "Bacterial small subunit ribosomal RNA", at positions 29 to 507 of the family's 1533-position model. The record is from RNAcentral.
AACGAACGCUGGCGGCAUGCCUAACACAUGCAAGUCGAACGAGACCUUCGGGUCUAGUGGCGCACGGGUGCGUAACGCGUGGGAACCUGCCCUUAGGUUCGGAAUAACUCCCCGAAAGGGGUGCUAAUACCGGAUAAUGUCUUCGGACCAAAGAUUUAUCGCCUUUGGAUGGGCCCGCGUUGGAUUAGCUAGUUGGUAGGGUAAAAGCCUACCAAGGCGACGAUCCAUAGCUGGUCUGAGAGGAUGAUCAGCCACACUGGGACUGAGACACGGCCCAGACUCCUACGGGAGGGAGCAGUGGGGAAUAUUGGACAAUGGGCGGAAGCCUGAUCCAGCCAUGCCGCGUGAGUGAUGAAGGCCUUAGGGUUGUAAAGCUCUUUUACCCGGGAUGAUAAUGACAGUACCGGGAGAAUAAGCUCCGGCUAACUCCGUG